GAUUACCUAUCCAAGUCUCGGUCGAGAAGGAUUUCUGAAUCCUUAUUGGUCGAGGUCAUCUCAUUAGCCUUUUCGGCGAAGGAUAAUAGAGGAUUGCGACGAGGAUGGUGUGAGGUGUUACAGUUAUUAUAUUCGGCACGUUGAAAGCCGAAUUCGGUUCGUGAACUUCGCAACUUAGCAGCCUUGUCUUCAGGCUCUAGAACCCAAGAGGCCGAGAAUUGUUCCUUCCUCGGCCGCAAUCGCAAGACACAGAAGUCAGCAGCGCGCUCAACGCAACAUCAACAAAUUUACUCCUCGGCCGAGCUCGGCCGACGAGUUGGCACGCCCCGCAAUCACCGAAGGACGUAGUUAGCUUAGAAAAUACUCGGCCUGCGCGCCACGUAGGCUUUGUAGUUUCUAGGGUCAACAGUAC
This 412-nucleotide small RNA is filed under the name Malus domestica (apple). RNAcentral's name for it is "sRNA MD15G0028600". Lineage: Eukaryota; Viridiplantae; Streptophyta; Magnoliopsida; Rosales; Rosaceae. The record is from RNAcentral.